UGGCCCAGUAGGCCAUCACUG
This 21-nucleotide unclassified non-coding RNA is filed under the name Mus musculus (house mouse). RNAcentral describes it as "oocyte_clustered_small_RNA12923". The record is from RNAcentral. Lineage: Eukaryota; Metazoa; Chordata; Mammalia; Rodentia; Muridae.